Carassius gibelio (silver crucian carp) is the source of this 535-nucleotide long non-coding RNA. RefSeq lists it as uncharacterized. Lineage: Eukaryota; Metazoa; Chordata; Actinopteri; Cypriniformes; Cyprinidae. The record is from RefSeq and is a predicted model, not a curated record. The transcript has 3 exons.
CAUCCAUAGGUGAAAAUAUAAAAUAAAUAUGCUGUCCAUCCAUAGGUGAAAAUAUAAAAUAAAUAUGCUGUCUAUCCAGAGGUGAAAAUAUAAAAUAAAUAUGCUGUCCAUCCAUAGGUGAAAAUAUAAAAUAAAUAUGCUGUCCAUCCAGAGGUGAAAAUAUAAAAUAAAUAUGCUGUCCAUCCAGAGGUGAAAAUAUAAAAUAAAUAUGCUGUCUAUCCAGAGGUGAAAAUAUAAAAUAAAUAUGCUGUCUAUCCAGAGGUGAAAAUAUAAAAUAAAUAUGCUGUCUAUCCAGAGGUGAAAAUAUAAAAUAAAUAUGCUGUCUAUCCAGAGGUGAAAAUAUAAAAUAAAUAUGCUGUCCAUCCAGAGGUGAAAAUAUAAAAUAAAUAUGCUGUCCAUCCAGAGGUGAAAAUAUAAAAUAAAUAUGCUGUCUAUCCAGAGGUGAAAAUAUAAAAUAAAUAUUCUGUCCAUCCAGAGGUGAAAAUAUAAAAUAAAUAUGCUGUCCAUCCAGAGGUGAAAAUAUAAAAUAAAUAUU